RNAcentral lists this long non-coding RNA (410 nucleotides) under Sorghum bicolor (sorghum). RNAcentral describes it as "long non-coding RNA (SBIC_LNC017224)". The record is from RNAcentral. Lineage: Eukaryota; Viridiplantae; Streptophyta; Magnoliopsida; Poales; Poaceae.
AUUAUCUGGCUGGUUGACUUUAAGCUCUCUUGCAGUCUGUGUGCGUGCCCUCAGGCGAAACUUUAUAAUAAUUAACUUGAUUCUAUCCGUGGAUAGAUAAAGCCACGUAUGAACUAUCUAAAAAUAGAAAAGAAACGAACUGGAAAUGGGAUAAAAAAGUAAAUGAACUGAUGGUCUGAUGGAACCAGAAGUGCAUAGAUUAUUAGUUUUUUCUAGAUUAACUGACUAGCAAAUAUUGCUUAUUUGAGAUGAUCAACAAGCAUUUGGGAGAAUGAAAAAAACUGGAAAAGAAAUAAAAAAAACGAUAGGCUUCGAGUGACUAAACUCUACAAGUGAAAGCAUCCAAUGUGGGGCUCCAUCCCACCCGAUGCUUCAUACUGGGCUAGUAGGCUUGGGCUUUGGUUGCGGCC